UACGUAGGGUGCAAGCGUUAAUCGGAAUUACUGGGCGUAAAGAGUGCGUAGGCGGCUAUGUAAGACAGAUGUGAAAUCCCUGGGCUUAACCUGGGAACUGCAUUGGUGACUGGCAGGCUUUGAGUGUGGCAGAGGGAGGUAGAAUUCCACGUGUAGCAGUGAAAUGCGUAGAGAUGUGGAGGAAUACCGAUGGCGAAGGCAGCCUCCUGGGCCAACACUGACGCUCAUGCACGAAAGCGUGGGGAGCAAACAGG
This 254-nucleotide ribosomal RNA is filed under the name uncultured bacterium. RNAcentral's name for it is "partial 16S ribosomal RNA". It matches the Rfam family "Bacterial small subunit ribosomal RNA", at positions 524 to 776 of the family's 1533-position model. The record is from RNAcentral.